Molecule: long non-coding RNA, 996 nt
Organism: Pan troglodytes (chimpanzee)
Lineage: Eukaryota; Metazoa; Chordata; Mammalia; Primates; Hominidae
Exons: 7
Source: RefSeq, a predicted model, not a curated record
GUUUAGAAUGCAAGGCCUCCUCAAUUCUCCACCCUUCCCCUCUUGACAUCUUUCUCUUCUUCCCUUCAUCUAUUGUGUUAGUCAGGUGCAUGCUGGUCUUCCCUCUAUCAAACUGUAAGCUACUUGGAGACUUGGGAUGCCUCACUCAUCUCUAUUCCCAAACCUCAGGGUCUAUCAUUCUACCUUCUGUAUAGACAGGACUUUCAUAGUUUUGAACAAGUCAGAACCUGAAAGAAUUUGCUUCCAGAAUAGGACAUUGACAGGAAAAUUAAGCAUGAUCAUGCCGAGUAAAAUAGGAAUAAGAAUUGGACCUACCUCAAGAUCUGUUGAGAAGAUUAUGAGAGAGCUGAUGGAUCUAAAAGAUUGGCGCUUGAAUUGGGAUCAUUUGUCUUGACUAGAACAAUCUCUUGCAGCUUGGAUGGAGAAACUUUACAGAGGUUUCAGCCAAACACUCAUGAAUUCUUUAAUGUGUGAAAUAAAUUUGUACAACGAAAGGCUAAAAAUUUGGGAGAUGCAGGAUGACUGAAGCCCGAUUCUGGGGGUUGUUACAGCACAGUUACAGGAUAUCAUAGUGCCUCAGAUCCCCUUUCAAGACUGAAAGACUUUCUACUCCAGAUGCCAUUGGCUGAAGACAGCUUCUAUUCAAACAGGGAAAUGGCCUGUCUGCAACAUGCAGCCUUUAUUCUUACCUGCAUGGCAUACUCCUUCUCCUUCUUUAAAAUUUGAUACCUAAAACUCUAUGGAGGAAGACAUUAUGUCUUAUUUGACUGUGUAUACUCAGCUCUUAGUACAAAUUUGCUGUAUUAUCAGUGUCUGAUGAUGUUGACAAUGAUGACGAAGAAGGAAGAAGAGGAGUUGGAGGAGGAGGAAGAAAACAUCCAGAGCAUUCAAUUUAUUCUAGUUAAAUUACUAACCAGAAAGAGAAUGCCCUCAGAAGUCUACUUUAUAAUGCUGUUUGGUUCUAAGUAAAGAGCAUCUAAUAGGGACACAUGUAAA